Molecule: long non-coding RNA, 937 nt
Organism: Prunus persica (peach)
Lineage: Eukaryota; Viridiplantae; Streptophyta; Magnoliopsida; Rosales; Rosaceae
Exons: 3
Source: RefSeq, a predicted model, not a curated record
AAGGCAACCGAAAUUUUUUGUGGCCAGCUGACAAUUUGGCGACCAAACAUGUGUUUGGUCGCCAUUUUUUGAAAUGGUGCGCACAGGAAAAUGAAAAAUUAGGGGCAACGAAAAUAUUUGGUCGCCAAAUUUGCCAGAAUGGUCUCGAAAAGAAAACUCGCGCCUAAAUAUUUCAUGGGGUUUGCGACUAAUAUAUUUUCGUCGCCAAUAAGAGGUUUUACGAAUUGAAAUUUUAAAAACUACGUCGUUUUUACUGACCUUGCUGUUUGGCCACCAAACGUUUUUGUGGCUGAUUCUUGAGACUUAAAUUUUAGAACCCUCUUCUCUCUGCCCAAUUCACUUCUCUAUACCUCCUCUCUGCAUCGCGCACACCAUCGUUACUCCGGCGUCGACAGAACAAUUGUCCACCGACGACGACUAGUCAUAUAGAAACUCUCUUCCCCUAUGAUUUCUCUUGGCAUGAGUUACUUAUUUCCCCCUCUCUCUGCCCCUAAUUUUCUAGAAUCUUCUCAGCCACUUACUUCUUCUGCUGCCUCUCUUCAGGUUUCAGUUUGAAAUACUUGCUUAAGAGGCUAUAUUCUGUCAAGAGAGGCAGAUGACGAAUGAGUUUGAGAAGCUGAAGCAACAAUUGGUAGAGUAUGAAUUCAUGUCACGGUACAUAUCCCACAAGCUUGGUCUCUAGUCUUCAUGUGGAGAAAAUGAAUGCAUGACUUGGGGUUACAAAGGGAAAGAAAAUUCGGAGCCUGGUCUCUAGUUUUUUUUUAAUUUUUUGGUGAACCUGGACUCUAGUCUUUGAGUGUUCUUCAUUCAUUUAUGCUUCUAGUUUUUGGAUAUAGGGUACGAAAUUUAUGUGUACUUAAAUGACUAGUAUGCUUGUGUGCCUCAGAAUGUUUACAACUUUAUUUAUAUUAUUUUCAAUUGAUUUUGCUUCCCUAAA